CCGCACAGCAGGAAAAGAACACACCGAAGUGGACGUGUGGGGGACGCAUCUGCACACUGUGGAGGCAGCGGAUCGAACCCUCUUCCCCUUCCCACCCUUGCUGAGCAUCCCCGCGUUUGUGCCGGCUGGAGUGACACAGACGCAGACAGCCCGCGUUGGAAUGUGUGGGUGCUUUUCUUUCGCGUAAACGGAAACAAAGGUCUGAGGCCCGGCAGCACGCGUCCGAGGUGCCGUUUCUCGCUACAUCUGCUGCCUCGCUCUCCUCGUACUGGCGCUUUCUCCACACGCAUUCGCACACACUCAUACACGCAUACAUCACAGGCGCACACACAUUCAGAGACAGGAAGAGGGAGAGAGCCGUUGUCACGGCACUUGUGCUGGCCACGGUCUUCGAAUUGAGGAGCAAAACACCCCCAUAAAAGGAAAGCGCAAAGUGGGGCACUCUUUCAUCAUCUCUGCAGUCGUCCCACGGGAAGCCGGCAGUGCAAUCUUUCUUUUCAAUUUACAGAGACAGCGCAAUGCUGCGCCGAAACGCCAGCCUAGUUGGUCAGCCGCCGAAGCUCGUCACGGCGGCGCUCAGCUGUGGCGCGCUCGUCCACCCGGUGUGCUACAAUGCUACCUCCUCGGUACCUCCAAGGUACGUGACUGCUGUCGGCGCGGCGGCGCCUGCACCUGCGCAGCCGGCGAGUGGCUCGCCUGCCGUGUCGGCGCCGCAGCCACUGGCGAUGAGGUCGUUCCCAGCGCGGCAGAACCCAUUUGCGCCCACCCUGGUGGCGGAUGACCCAAAGGUGCUGCUGGCCAAGGCGCAGUACUGCAUCUUCACCCUCGCCUACGACCCCGCGCAGAAGCUUUAUGCCGUCUACUCCGCCACGACAAACGAGGUGGCCGUCAUGCAAGAGGAACUCCUAUGGAAGGCCGCCAUGUGGGUCGACGAGCGCAUCGGUGACGACUACAUUGCUGGGCUCUUGUUUGGCAACGACGCCUCCACCGACGUGAAAUCCGCCGCGACGCUGCUGAGCAACAAGACGAUGAAGAGGCUGGUGCUAGCGCCGGACACAUGGGGCAUCACGUUCCUCGCCUUCAAAGCACAGCAGGAGGUCGUGAAGGGCGUGGACAUGCCUCUCGGUCUCGAGCACGCUGCAUUUCUGCUGACACAGCGGCAGUUCAACGCCACCACCGUCGAUCCGCAGGUCUACGAUGUGGGGGCCGGCGCGUACAUGCCAAGCGACGUGCUGAAGUCGAACGGAGCAGCGCGCAGUGCCGUCAUGGGCUGGGAUGUGCUUCUCCACGUGCAUCGCCGCUUUGGCACCCCUGGCAGUCGCAAGGCGCUGAAUCCGGUGGAGCAGAUUGUGCGGCGGGUCGUCAAGGCUGUGAACGUCUUCGUGGUGGACAUCAAUGUGCGGGUCGGCAAGGGCACCAUCACGGAGGGGUACACGAUGAUUGUCACCAUAUUCGACUCACAACGGCGCUCUCAGUCGGUGCACAUGAUCCGCAGCUUAGCAGAGGAAACGGCGAAGCUGAACGCACUCACCACGCUCCUGUACGGCGAGGGCAGCUCAUCCAUUUCGCUGUUUGUGCCGACGGCCCGCACCAAGUCGUCGCAGCUUGUGGCGUUCGCGAGGACAUGCCGCCCGAAGAGCCCGUUCUUCGUGGCGGAGGUUUCGAGCCUGGCGCCAUACUUUGGCGGGCACAACGUUGCGAAGGGGGUCAGUGAAGAGGAGGACCCGCGGGCGACGUGGAACCUCAUCCGGCAAAACUGCUUCCCAGAGAAUCACCUGCGUAAGGACGAGGAGAAGAUGGAUCGCUACCUUCACCGCGGCUUCACCGCGCUGGCUAACAAGCUCUUCUCGGAGCGACUGCACAAAGUCUCGCCAGCCAUCAUGAGCGCUGUGAACAGCAUCCCUGCUCAGGAAGAAUCUGCGACCGCCUUCAAGCGCCUGGAGGAGAUGGCGGCGGAGGCGAAGAAGAACCCGGUGCCACAAAUCACAACGGCCAGCUUCCUCAACAAGGUCAACAUCAACGACGCGGAGGUCGUAUUUGGGCUACAGCAGUGGCGUCGAAAAAUCUACGAAGAUCAAGGCCGUCUGGAGCGGGAGAAGAAAGCGCUGGAUGGUCUGCGCCGGUACCUCAUCGUGGAUUUGGAGACGACCACGAUACGGCGCUACAAGCGCGUCGCGAACCCGUUCACCAAGGAGAACUACGUCGUCUUGUCCGGCGCUCGCGACUACAAGGGGAACGUCUUCAUGCCCAGGCGCUACUUUGAUCGCAGCGUUGCCAUGCGCUACGACGACCCGUCCGUGACAAGUCAAAACCACCUCGUCGAGAAGUCCUCCAAGGACUCGCUCUUUCUGCCGCCGCUGGACGAGUACGACGUCAUUGUAGGCCACAACAUCAAGUUCGAUAUGUUGCACAUUUGGCGUGACGUCGAGUUUCGCAAGUUCCUGCGCCGCGGCGGCAAGAUAUGGGAUACCAUGUAUGGCGAGUACCUCUUGACCGGACACGAGGUGAAGCUCGGGCACGGGGCAGGCCUGGAGGAUGUGGCGAAGAGCUACGGCGGCCAAACGAUGAAGCUGGAUGCCGUGAAGCGGGCGUGGGCGGAGGGAAAAGAGACGUACGAGAUUCCAUACAGCAUCCUCACCGAGUACCUCCACGGCGACCUCGAGAACACCGAGCUCAUCUUCUGCAAGCACAUGGAGCGAGCCCUCGAGCAGCGGCAGGUCAUCAUCUGCUGUGCGCGGAUGGAAGGGCUGCUGUGUACGACGGAGAUGGAGUACAACGGGCUCAAGACGAACGUCGACUUGGCGCAGCGACAGAGCAACGAACUGAUGACAAAGGUGUCGGAGCUGCGCCGACAGCUAGAGGAGUCUAUCCCGCACGAGAUCCCGCACGACUGCCGCAAGUUCUUUAACUGGUCCUCCAAUCAGCACCUCAUCACGUUCUUCUUUGGCGGCAAGCUCACGCUGAGCACGAACGCGCGGGAGAGCAAGCCGCUCACGGGCGAACUAUUCGCGCGCCACACCUUGUUCCUCCGCCCCGAGUACUUCCCGCCGUCGGCGUACCCAAAUGGCGUCUUUCUGCGGCCGCCGGUGCACGUCCUCGGCAUUGGCGACUGCGCGAUCAUGGCGGGUAUGCCAUCUGAGAAGGGCACACGCCUCUUCCGCGGUUACCUGGAGGCGUACAUGCGGCAGGCAGGCUUCCGCAAGAGUUCAUCAAUUUUGGAGAGUUUGCGGCGAGAUGCGACGACGGUGUCGCGGCUGAAUGCCGACAAGCGCGGCGAGACGUCGGCCCUGGCUAACUUGCUGCCGCGGCGCCAUCUCUUCCUCUUCGCUGCGCUGACACCGAGCGGCACCGAGGGCAUCGCCAAGCUUUUCGUCAAAAACCCGAUCAGCGGCGAAUCUGUGACCAUCACGGAGGGCGAAAAGGCGGAGCAGCUGGAGCGGUUUGUAAUGGCGCAGGUGGCAAAGCACACGGAGAUGAUCAUGCCCACCGAUGACGACGCGUCGGUGAAGGACGCGGCAUUCGCGGACGCGCAUGUAACUAUUCUAGCGCGCGACGCCGGCUUCUCUUUUAUGCACUACAUCCGCAGCGAUGCGGGGCUGACUCGGUACAUGGAGGCGCACGUGGGCUACCUUGACGCGGCGGACCCAAAGCUGCGCUACAACAUCUCUCUUGCCGACACGGUCGCCAUCUUAGCCUACUACAAGCACCAGUACGCGAGCGACCUGCACGCGACGCUAGGCGGCUCGAGGCGGAGAGGCAGCAGCAGCAGCGGCGGCGGCGUCGCCGCCGACUCGCUUGGGCCGGUCAUCCCGCCAAAGGCGCUGCCGAAGGUGGGGAAGCGCAACAAGAUGGGUAUCGCUGAGGCCUUCAAGAAGGCGCUGCUGCAGGAAUCCCUGAUGAAGCCGGAGGAAUGGUGCAACUACUACAUCGAAAUCUUUCUCCACAUCGCCAACGCGGCCCUGCAGCAUGAGGCGCUCUCGACUGAGUCGCCCAAACCGCGCAAGGGAAAGAAAGACGCAGCGCGCACCGACGACGAGCUGCCGGUGCUGCUUCGGCAGCGACGCGCCUUUGUCGGCUACUACAACUCGCUGCCCGAUGCCGAGCGAAAGCGGCUGGCGCUCAUGUGUCUGGUGGGCAAGACGACUUCCUCGGUGUACGACUGCUUCGCCAUUCCGUGCGCCCACGAUGACAUCGUCAAGGUGAACAUCAAGGGCCGGCUGGCGCAGUACAUCCCAAAUGAACUGGAGGCGGAGCAGGUGAUGCGCCGCUUCCGCAGCUCGACGACGCGCCAGUUGCAGGUCGGCGAAGACACCCUUAGUUACUUCAAGUCGAAUCACAAUGACAGCACCGCCAGUGUUAUUCUUGAGCUGCGCGCGCUCGAGAAGCUGAUUGGUACCUACUACGAGAGCACCGACGGCGGCACUGGAAUGGUGUCGCUUGUGCACUCGACGGACAGCUGCAUCCACCACGAGCUGAUCCACAACAAGACGAACACCGGACGCCUGGCGAGUGCGAACCCGAACUGCCAGAACAUUCCAAAGGAGGACAAGUCGAGCUUGCGCGAUAUGUUCAUCAGCCGCUUCGGUGACAAGGGCAUGUGCAUCGAGGCGGACUAUUCACAGCUGGAGGUCGUUGCGCUCGCUGUGCUCGCAUCCGACGAGCAGAUGCUUGAAGACUUGCGGAACAACGUGGACUUCCACUGCAAGCGUGUGACGAUGAUGCGGCCAGAUCUCAAGUACACAGAUGUGCUGCAGCGUUCCAAAAAGAUCAAGGAGCCGGAGUUUGUGAAGCUGCGGCAGCAGGCGAAGAUAUUCUCCUUCCAGCGGCAGUACGGUGCCGGCGUGCGAAUGCUGAGUCAAAGCACCGGGCUCACCCAGGACCAGGUCCGCAUGCUUAUCGAGAAGGAGAACGAGACGUACCGCGGCGUUGAGGUGUUCAACAAGAUGGUAACCUUAUCGGCGAACAGCUACGAUGCGUCGCUGCAGAAUGGCGUGCGCAACGUUCGCGGCCACCAGUUCUUCAAGGGCAUGUUCCCAGUGUUGACGGGGAGCCGUUACGUUUUCACGGAGUCGGACGUCCCCGAGGGAAUGCUGCGCGAGCGGGACGUGGUGCGCAAGUCGACGAACUUCUCCCCCACCCACCUCAAGAACUACCCCGUGCAGGGCUUCGCUGGCGAGAUCGUCCAGGUGAUGCUCGGGGUGCUGUGGCGGCACUUCCUCGCCAACAAUAAUUACAACGGCCUUGCGGUGCUCACGAACACGGUGCACGACUGCGUGUGGGUGGACUGCCAUGUCUCCGUGUACCGGCAGGUGGCAAAGGAUGUGGAGCUCAUCAUGGACGGAGCGCGGACCGUGCUCAACGCCUUGUACCCCGAGAUGCAGGUGACCGUGGAUUUCCCGUGCGAUGUGGUGGCUGGAGAGAGCAUGGGGGCGCUGCGGCCCAUCAUGGAGGAAACAACGCUCUAGACACUCCUCCCCAUUCUCUUUUGCGUGGGCACCGCUACCUUGUGUUUUCCGUGCGCACGAUGCUCCCCCCUCUCUCUUCAUCAUUCGAGGAUGCCCGCCGCUUAUAGGUGGCGUUGGGGGUGGGGCUCCGUGCUGGCUGUGGCGCCAGGAAAGGCGAAUGGAGAGGGUGGCAGCUGCGUCGUGGGUACCAAUUCGGUAGUGGAGCCUCUCUACUGCACGUUGGUAUAUCCACACAAAACGCCCUCGCGAGUAGAGUCCGCGCUCCUGUGUUUAGACAGACCGUCGUGUAUCGGGUAGGGCGUUUGAGCGCGGCAUACUUCCCUGUCUGUCUGCCUGUGUGGGCGUGCGCGCAUGAAGAGAUGGACAUGCCGAAGGUGCGCUUGACGAGUAACAGAGAAGACAACGAAAUAAGGAUAGGUCAUAGAUUGAAUGUGCCGUCGCAGACACACCUUCUCUGCGCGUGUGUGCGCAGGCGAACACUUUGCUGAGUGAUAUGCACACACACACACACGUUCAUCCCAUAGACAGAAACGGGUGGGCGAGAAGCGGGUGUUUGCGCAUUUUCCGCCGCUUCUCCUUUCCUUCUUAUCCUUGAUGCUUUGCCGGUCCCUGCAUCCCCAUCUUCUGCAGAGGAGGGUGAGCGAAGUACGCCUCCUCAUUCUUCAUGCUGCGCUUCAACAAUUGAAAAGAAGAGAGGUUGUUGCCAAGAAGCGUGAGAGUUGGGGUGUUCUGCAGAGGAGAGACAUAUCGCCUUCUGGUGAGCAUCUCAUUUUUUUCUCUCUUGCUAUAUCCGUUGUUCGUAAAGACGCGGGUGUGCGUGUGUGUCUCGUCGGAGACGCUUCUGCGUCUUCAUGAAUGAGAG
Molecule: unclassified non-coding RNA, 6327 nt
Filed under: Leishmania donovani
Lineage: Eukaryota; Euglenozoa; Kinetoplastea; Trypanosomatida; Trypanosomatidae
Description: gene:LdHU3.13.1880(CDS-product:mitochondrial_DNA_ polymerase_I_protein_D_putative)
Source: RNAcentral